GACGAACGCUGGCGGCGUGCUUAACACAUGCGAGUCGAACGGAAAGGCCCUGCUUUUGUGGGGUGCUCGAGUGGCGAACGGGUGAGUAACACGUGAGUAACCUGCCCUUGACUUUGGGAUAACUUCAGGAAACUGGGGCUAAUACCGGAUAGGAGCUCCUGCUGCAUGGUGGGGGUUGGAAAGUUUCGGCGGUUGGGGAUGGACUCGCGGCUUAUCAGCUUGUUGGUGGGGUAGUGGCUUACCAAGGCUUUGACGGGUAGCCGGCCUGAGAGGGUGACCGGCCACAUUGGGACUGGGAUACGGCCCAGACUCCUACGGGCGGCAGCAGUGGGGAAUAUUGCACAAUGGGCGGAAGCCUGAUGCAGCAACGCCGCGUGCGGGAUGACGGCCUUCGGGUUGUAAACCGCUUUCGCCUGUGACGAAGCGUGAGUGACGGUAAUGGGUAAAGAAGCACCGGCUAACUACGU
This 467-nucleotide ribosomal RNA is filed under the name uncultured bacterium. Its description in RNAcentral is "partial 16S ribosomal RNA". It matches the Rfam family "Bacterial small subunit ribosomal RNA", at positions 28 to 506 of the family's 1533-position model. The record is from RNAcentral.